ACAUCCCGAAACUAAGCGAGCUACUCUAAAACAGCUUAUAGAGCCAACCCAUCCCUGUUGCAAUAGGGUGGGAAGAUUGUAGAGUAGAGGUGACACGCCUACCGAGCCUAGAGAUAGCUGGUUAUUCAAAAGACGGAUUUAAGUCCAACCUUAAGUUUUCUUAGUCUACCAAACAACCCUUAAACUUAAGAGCCAUUCAAAUAAGGUACAGCCUAUUUGAACAAGGACACAACCUACAAUACAGGGUAAUAUCAAACAAUGUGAUAAAGUAGGCCUAAAAGCAGCCACCUUUCAAAAAGCGUCCAAGCUUCCCCAUCAACCAUCCUUAAUUUUAUUACCAACCAACAACCCCCCUCCCCCACUGAAUGACCCCAUACACGUAUGGAAGACAUUAUACUAGAACUAGUAACAAGAAGCAGAACUUCUCCAAAAUGCAAGCAUAAGCCAAUAAUAAACAUCUUACUGGCACUUACCGCUAUAAUAGUACAUUCUUACAAGAAAACUCUACUAAUUAAAACGCUAACCUGACACUAGA
This 535-nucleotide ribosomal RNA is filed under the name Stumpffia froschaueri. RNAcentral describes it as "partial 16S ribosomal RNA". The stretch from base 5 to 121 matches the Rfam family "Bacterial large subunit ribosomal RNA", at positions 714 to 852 of the family's 2925-position model. Lineage: Eukaryota; Metazoa; Chordata; Amphibia; Anura; Microhylidae. The record is from RNAcentral.